ACUGGCGGCGUGCCUAACACAUGCAAGUCGAACGGAGAUAAGUGCUGAUGAAGCUUCGGCAGAGUCAUAUUUAAUCUUAGUGGCGGACGGGUGAGUAACGCGUGGGCAACCUGCCUCAUACUGGGGGAUAGCAGUUGGAAACGACUGAUAAUACCGCAUAAGCGCACAGCAUCGCAUGAUGCAGUGUGAAAAACUCCGGUGGUAUGAGAUGGGCCCGCGUCAGAUUAGCCAGUUGGCAGGGUAACGGCCUACCAAAGCGACGAUCUGUAGCCGGCCUGAGAGGGCGGACGGCCACAUUGGGACUGAGACACGGCCCAAACUCCUACGGGAGGCAGCAGUGGGGGAUAUUGCACAAUGGAGGAAACUCUGAUGCAGCGACGCCCGCGUGAGUGAAGAAGUAUUUCGGUAUGUAAAGCUCUAUCAGCAGGGAAGAAAGGCCCGAAAGGGAGAUGACGGUACCUGACUAAGAAGCCCCGGCUAACUACGUGCCAGCAGCCGC
RNAcentral lists this ribosomal RNA (499 nucleotides) under uncultured bacterium. RNAcentral describes it as "bacterial SSU rRNA". It matches the Rfam family "Bacterial small subunit ribosomal RNA", at positions 36 to 518 of the family's 1533-position model. The record is from RNAcentral.